GACGAACGCUGGCGGCGUGCUUAACACAUGCAAGUCGAACGGAAAGGCCCUGCUUUUGUGGGGUGCUCGAGUGGCGAACGGGUGAGUAACACGUGAGUAACCUGCCCUUGACUUUGGGAUAACUUCAGGAAACUGGGGCUAAUACCGGAUAGGAGCUCCUGCUGCAUGGUGGGGGUUGGAAAGUUUCGGCGGUUGGGGAUGGACUCGCGGCUUAUCAGCUUGUUGGUGGGGUAGUGGCUUACCAAGGCUUUGACGGGUAGCCGGCCUGAGAGGGUGACCGGCCACAUUGGGACUGAGAUACGGCCCAGACUCCUACGGGAGGCAGCAGUGGGGAAUAUUGCACAAUGGGCGGAAGCCUGAUGCAGCAACGCCGCGUGCGGGAUGACGGCCUUCGGGUUGUAAACCGCUUUCGCUCAUGACGAAGCUUUGUGUGACGGUAGUGGGUAAGGAAGCACCGGCUAACUACGUG
RNAcentral lists this ribosomal RNA (469 nucleotides) under uncultured bacterium. Its description in RNAcentral is "partial 16S ribosomal RNA". It matches the Rfam family "Bacterial small subunit ribosomal RNA", at positions 28 to 507 of the family's 1533-position model. The record is from RNAcentral.